RNAcentral lists this long non-coding RNA (459 nucleotides) under Salvia miltiorrhiza (redroot sage). Its description in RNAcentral is "long non-coding RNA (SMIL_LNC003338)". Lineage: Eukaryota; Viridiplantae; Streptophyta; Magnoliopsida; Lamiales; Lamiaceae. The record is from RNAcentral.
GUGGGGGUAGCUUCAGAGGAUUGCAAUGGAACAGUGCUUACGUGUCAACUCAACUGUCUGUCUCAUAUAACGGGAUGACGUGUCGGUGCGACGUUUUUUGUGGCUUAAAGAGGAAUUUGGUCACACAAUCCGGGUUCGUGUUUCCUAGGAAUAGGCAGUGUGUGUUGUGCGUGAAAUCUUUUUUCUUUUUCUUUUUCUUUCUCUUUUUUUUUUUUUUUUUUACAUCUAUUCGUAUUUUAUUUGNAUCAUUCGUAUUUUAUUGUCGUAUUUAAUUUUCUGUUUAAAAUAAAGUUUUUUUUGUGUGUUAAUGGGUAAAACUGGACCAAUUCUCAAAAACUCAAAUAAUAUUUAUUACUGGAUUUAAAGAAAAAUAGACCUAGAGACCAUAAAUUAAUAAGUUUGGGGGGGAAAGAUUAUUGAUUAGUUAAAAAAUUGGAUGAUAAAUUAGUAGCAGUUUAC